GGCAGGUUGCCCGAGUGGCCAAAGGGAGCAGACUGUAAAUCUGUCGGCGUACGCCUACGUAGGUUCGAACCCUACACCUGCCA
Molecule: transfer RNA, 83 nt
Filed under: Luteococcus japonicus
Lineage: Bacteria; Bacillati; Actinomycetota; Actinomycetes; Propionibacteriales; Propionibacteriaceae
Also listed under: 5 other names
Description: tRNA-Tyr
Rfam family: tRNA
About the family: Transfer RNA (tRNA) molecules are approximately 80 nucleotides in length. Their secondary structure includes four short double-helical elements and three loops (D, anti-codon, and T loops).
Source: RNAcentral